Molecule: non-coding RNA, 30 nt
Filed under: Mus musculus (house mouse)
Lineage: Eukaryota; Metazoa; Chordata; Mammalia; Rodentia; Muridae
Source: RNAcentral
UGAGUCUGAGAAUCGCUACCUUCCCACUGA